AGCGAACGCUGGCGGCAGGCUUAACACAUGAAAGUCGAGCGGGCACUUUCGGGUGUCAGCGGCGGACGGGAGAGUAACGCGUGGGAACGUGCCCUCUGGUUCGGAAUAACGCAGGGAAACUUGAGCUAAUACCGGAUACGCCCGUUUGGGGAAAGGCUUGCUGCCGGAGGAUCGGCCCGCGUCUGAUUAGCUAGUUGGUGAGGUAACGGCUCACCAAGGCGACGAUCAGUAGCUAGUCUGAGAGGAUGAUCAGCCACACUGGGACUGAGACACGGCCCAGACUCCUACGGGACGCAGCAGUGGGGAAUAUUGGGCAAUGGGCGCAAGCCUGAUCCAGCCAUGCCGCGUGAGUGAUGAAGGCCUUAGGGUUGUCAAGCUCUUUUAUCCGGGACGAUAUUGACGGUACCGGAGGAAUAAGCCCCGGCUAACUUCGUG
This 435-nucleotide ribosomal RNA is filed under the name uncultured bacterium. RNAcentral describes it as "partial 16S ribosomal RNA". It matches the Rfam family "Bacterial small subunit ribosomal RNA", at positions 29 to 507 of the family's 1533-position model. The record is from RNAcentral.